UACAGAGGUCCCGAGCGUUGUUCGGAUUCACUGGGCGUAAAGGGUGCGUAGGUGGUGAGGAAAGUCGGAUGUGAAAUCUCCGGGCUUAACCCGGAAAUGGCAUUGGAAACUACCUUGCUAGAGGUUUUGAGAGGAGACUGGAAUUCAUGGUGUAGCAGUGAAAUGCGUAGAGAUCAUGAGGAAGACCAGUGGCGAAGGCGGGUCUCUGGACAGUUCCUGACACUGAGGCACGAAGGCCAGGGGAGCAAACGGG
This 253-nucleotide ribosomal RNA is filed under the name uncultured bacterium. RNAcentral's name for it is "partial 16S ribosomal RNA". It matches the Rfam family "Bacterial small subunit ribosomal RNA", at positions 524 to 776 of the family's 1533-position model. The record is from RNAcentral.